RNAcentral lists this ribosomal RNA (253 nucleotides) under uncultured bacterium. RNAcentral describes it as "partial 16S ribosomal RNA". It matches the Rfam family "Bacterial small subunit ribosomal RNA", at positions 524 to 776 of the family's 1533-position model. The record is from RNAcentral.
UACGUAGGGUGCAAGCGUUGUCCGGAAUUAUUGGGCGUAAAGAGCUCGUAGGCGGUCUGUCGCGUCGGAUGUGAAAAUCCAGGGCUCAACCCUGGACCUGCAUUCGAUACGGGCAGACUAGAGUUCGGCAGGGGAGACUGGAAUUCCUGGUGUAGCGGUGAAAUGCGCAGAUAUCAGGAGGAACACCGGUGGCGAAGGCGGGUCUCUGGGCCGAUACUGACGCUGAGGCGCGAAAGCGUGGGUAGCAAACAGG